GAUCCUGGCUCAGGAUGAACGCUAGCUACAGGCUUAACACAUGCAAGUCGAGGGGAACGACAUUGAAGCUUGCUUCGAUGGGCGUCGACCGGCGCACGGGUGAGUAACGCGUAUCCAACCUGCCUCUGACUAAGGGAUAACCCGGCGAAAGUCGGACUAAUACCUUAUGAGGUUUUCAGCAGACAUCUAACGAAACGAAGAUUAUCGGUCAGUGAUGGGGAUGCGUCUGAUUAGCUUGUUGGG
RNAcentral lists this ribosomal RNA (243 nucleotides) under uncultured bacterium. Its description in RNAcentral is "partial 16S ribosomal RNA". It matches the Rfam family "Bacterial small subunit ribosomal RNA", at positions 15 to 253 of the family's 1533-position model. The record is from RNAcentral.